AGGGCACCACCAGGAGUGGAGCCUGCGGCUUAAUUUGACUCAACACGGGGAAACUUACCCGGCCUGGACACUGGAAGGAUUGACAGAUUGAGAGCUCUUUCUUGAUUCAGUGGGUGGUGGUGCAUGGCCGUUCUUAGUUGGUGGAGCAAUUUGUCGGGUUAAUUCCGAUAACGAACGACACUCUAGCCUAUUAAAUAGGCUCCCGGCUUUUAAACCCCGGGAGGACUUCUUAAAGGGACAGGUGGCGGUUCAGCCGCACGAAAGAGAGCAAUAACAGGUCUGUGAUGCCCUUUGUUGUCGGGGGCCGCACGCGCGCUACACUGAAGAGAUCAGCGUGCUUUAUGUUCCUGCUCCGACCAGAGGGGGGAACCCACUGAACCUUCUUCGUGAGGGGUAUAAAAGAUUAAAAUUAUUCUUCUUGAAAGAAGAAUUCCCAAUAAGUGAGAGCCAUAUCCGCACUGAUAAUUAUAUCUGCAUUCUAUGUAACCGCCAGUCGUCUCUACGGCCUUGUACGACCUA
This 519-nucleotide ribosomal RNA is filed under the name uncultured eukaryote. Its description in RNAcentral is "bacterial SSU rRNA". It matches the Rfam family "Eukaryotic small subunit ribosomal RNA", at positions 1161 to 1700 of the family's 1831-position model. The record is from RNAcentral.